UUGUACCUCAUGAUGGAAUCCAGCCUCUGCAGCUUCAGCUGCUGCUUGAACUUGUUGAUGAAAUCGUCGGCCUUGGCGUCCACCUCGUCGUCGACUGGGGCACCGCUCACCUUAGCCUCCCUCACCGUGGCCGGGCGGCGGUUCUCCACGAUGUCCUCUUCUUUGAAGUGUGCAAAGGCAGACUUGCUGCUUGCUGACUUUUUCAUCUUCCGCGGCAGUUUCACCGGAACCUCACCAGAAGAAGGCUUGGUGUCAGAGUGUGUCCUAGUGAAAUGACCAUCUUGCCCCUGCUGCUGCAAUUUGCUGUAAAUCUCGUCCAGGGAAGAACCCUCUUCGCGGUCUCCAAGGCUGUAGUCGUAACCACCGCUCACGACAGGAAAGUCAUCGUCUUCCUCUUUUUCCUCGUCGGUUUCGACCACCUGGGGUGGCGGCAAGUGGGGUUUGUCCGGCGCGUGGGAAAGUGUGACUGCUUGGGGAACUUGGGGAACUUGGGGAGUGAGUUUUGAAGUGAAGGGUUCGGUGGGGAGGUAAGUGUAGAGGUUGAUGGAUUUGAGUCUUUGAAGGAGCGAAGGAGAUCUAGCAAGUUGGAAGGUUUCGUUUUGAUGGGUUUGAGAUUCAUGAAAGUGUGGGUGUGGAGGGUCUUGGGAGGGGUAGAAGUUGAUGGAUUUGAGUCUCUGCAAGAUGGAAGGGGAUCUAGGGAGGUGUGGGUGUGGAAAGUCAUUAGCUUGAUGAUGUUGGGCAUGAGGGUCUUGGUGUUGGUGUUGGUGGUGUUUGGAGCUGGCAAGGUUGGAGAUGAUGAAGAUGGUUCCGAUGACUAGUUGGAGGAGGAGGAAGAAGACGGUGGGUGUGAACCAGCUGUAAAGGGUGGCUAAGAAUGUCGGGGAGGAUGAGACUGCUUCCUGAAGCAUGGUUGUGGUUUGAAAGGUUUGAGAAGUUGAAGAAGAGAGAAGAGGUUGUUGGUAUGGUUGGUUGGGUUUGAUUUGGUUAUGUAGGGUGUGUGUACUUGUUUAGUGUUUAGAUAUUUAGCUAAUGUUAUUCAAUCUAUAUAAAUAAGUAAAUAAAUUAGAAAGAAAUUAAAUUUAAAUAAUAUGAGAAUAUUGGUAAGGGUAAAAGUUAAUUUUAUUUAUUUAUUUAUUUAUUUAUUUUGAGUGUAUGAAGAAAAGGCAUGUGAAAUAAAAGGAUUGGUUGAGAGAACUCGAAGAUCGAGAAAAGCGUGGUGGCAUAUGAUGGUUCUGCAACAAAGGGACAAAAUUAGAGGGUAGAUUUGUGAAACGUGGGACACUUCUUCGUUGAAUUUUCGGAUAUUCAUGUCGACCUUCACUUCAACAAAACCUGAAUUCAAUUUCAACCCAUCUUAUGAAUAUAGAGGUAUGGGUUAUCACCCCAACCACUCAAUUCAUGACUUUCACUGUUGAAAUUAGUUUUUAUUUUAAAUUUUUAUAUAAUUAUAU
RNAcentral lists this long non-coding RNA (1451 nucleotides) under Vigna radiata. RNAcentral describes it as "long non-coding RNA (VRAD_LNC005677)". The record is from RNAcentral. Lineage: Eukaryota; Viridiplantae; Streptophyta; Magnoliopsida; Fabales; Fabaceae.